RNAcentral lists this ribosomal RNA (253 nucleotides) under uncultured bacterium. RNAcentral's name for it is "partial 16S ribosomal RNA". It matches the Rfam family "Bacterial small subunit ribosomal RNA", at positions 524 to 776 of the family's 1533-position model. The record is from RNAcentral.
UACAGAGGUCUCAAGCGUUGUUCGGAUUCAUUGGGCGUAAAGGGUGCGUAGGCGGUGCGGCAAGUUGGGAGUGAAAUCUCUGGGCUUAACCCAGAGGCUGCUUCCAAAACUGCUGUGCUUGAGUGUGGGAGAGGCGCGUGGAAUUGCAGGUGUAGCGGUGAAAUGCGUAGAUAUCUGCAGGAACACCCGUGGCGAAGGCGGCCACCUGGACGGUAACUGACGCUGAGACGCGAAAGCGUGGGGAGCAAACAGG